This 1443-nucleotide long non-coding RNA is filed under the name Olea europaea subsp. europaea. Lineage: Eukaryota; Viridiplantae; Streptophyta; Magnoliopsida; Lamiales; Oleaceae. The record is from RNAcentral.
CUCGUGAAUUUACGUUAUGGAGAAUGGAAGAUAUGAUCUAGACAUUAAUGGCUUUUGCAAUAAGGUGGAAUGCAUAAUAUUAGACAAUAUUACAUAACAGAAAGAUGCUAAAAUCAUGUCCACUGUGCUGUAAGACCCUAUGCAGUAAUGCUUACCAAACAUGCCAAAGUAAUUGAUAUCCUUAUUCAAGCAUUAUGAUCAUUUAGCUAAUUUAAUUACCCAAAGGAUAACUGAUCUUAAAUAUAAUGAGCUCUCUUUAUGAACUUCAAAACAAUUAAUCUCAGAUGAUGCUGGUCAAAUUUAUAUAUCAUAAUUCAUAAUAUGUUAUUGAUAUCAAAAUCCACUACAACUACAUCCGCACCAAAAACCUAUUAUAUAUAAUGGCCCAAUUUAUGAACUAGAAAUGCUCUAACUUACAAUCAAUUAAAGCACGAGGUACCAAAACAAACCUUUUAGGAUCCACCGGUAGUAUUUCUACUUCAAAAUUUUUAAGGCUAUUGAUAAACCACCUUCUCCAUUGUUACGAAUUCCUCUAUCUACCACAACAAUAGGUAUUCUACUUCGUCUCCUCCAAUUCAGUGUAGCAAGGGAUUCCAUCCUUACUACAAAACGAGCUGCUCUCAGCUUCAGCUUUUGGCUUUAACCUAGUCAUAUGGGAGCUCUGGUCCAAGAAGUAAUUUGAGAGAUCUUUCAUCCACUUAGGCUGUUGAAUAAUAAACAUUACCUCAUCUCUGGCCUUGGUUGAGGGCUUCUCUAGAAAUUCCAUUAGAAUUACCUUCCACAACUCGGAAUCUAUGUUAUCUGCUAGGUUGGACUGAGCAUCGGUGCUUCUGUUAUCUACUAGAGAGACUUGAAGGAUUUCAAACUUGUCAAGAUAUUUUUCAGGGCUAAGAUCCCAUCCAUCCAAGUCACUAGCAUCUGGGAGUCAUUAUUAACUUGUACCUAUUUUAUUUUUAUCUCCUUUCACCAAUUAUAGAUCAACUAUAAACUCUGCGUACUCUGCUACAUUAUUAAGGCUUGGAAAUCGAAUCUUAGGGUGCAAGUCAGAUGAUGUCCCUCUGGAAUCAUUAGGAUCGUCCCUGCUCUCGAUCUUGUCUUUCCAGAUGAGUUGUCAAAAAUUAGCUUCCAUAUCCUCUGAGCAUUGACCCAGGGUCUUCGACAUCUUUAGGAAAGAUAGGUCCCUCAGUAAAUAAUGCAAGAAAUUCUGCUAAUGCCUGACCCUUGGUAGUCGUUCACAGUUGAAAUUGGAUUUCAAAUAGACUUCAAAUAGACUUAGCUCAAUUGUCCACUUCAUCGACUUUUAUAAAGAGUUGGGCUUUGAAAAACCUUGACAUAACAAAUAAUUAGUUAAUAACUCAAUGGUAUAAGCCUUAAAAUAUGGCCUUACUCUCAUAAACUUUGUUAUCAAUGUAAGAGGGAAAUUUUCUCUGUCUGAUAUCUUGU